Molecule: ribosomal RNA, 497 nt
Filed under: uncultured bacterium
Lineage: Bacteria
Description: partial 16S ribosomal RNA
Rfam family: Bacterial small subunit ribosomal RNA
Source: RNAcentral
GAUGAACGCUGGCGGCGUGCCUAAUACAUGCAAGUCGAGCGAACAGACGAGGAGCUUGCUCCUCUGACGUUAGCGGCGGACGGGUGAGUAACACGUGGAUAACCUACCUAUAAGACUGGGAUAACUUCGGGAAACCGGAGCUAAUACCGGAUAAUAUAUUGAACCGCAUGGUUCAAUAGUGAAAGACGGUUUUGCUGUCACUUAUAGAUGGAUCCGCGCCGCAUUAGCUGGUUGGUAAGGUAACGGCUUACCAAGGCAACGAUGCGUAGCCGACCUGAGAGGGUGGUCGGCCACCCUGGAAGUGAGACACGGUCCAGACUCCUACGGGAGGCAGCAGUAGGGAAUCUUCCGCAAUGGGCGAAAGCCUGACAGAGCAACGGCGCGUGAGUGAUGAAGGUCUUCGGAUCGUAAAACUCUGUUAUUAGGGAAGAACAAAUGUGUAAGUAACUAUGCACGUCUUGACGGUACCUAAUCAGAAAGCCACGGCUAACUACGUG